Molecule: non-coding RNA, 663 nt
Organism: Chiloscyllium plagiosum (whitespotted bambooshark)
Lineage: Eukaryota; Metazoa; Chordata; Chondrichthyes; Orectolobiformes; Hemiscylliidae
Source: RefSeq, a predicted model, not a curated record
GCACAUCCUGCCCCAUCUACUUAACGAUCAAGAAUCAGCCUGUUCAGUCACACAAAGAUGCACGGUGAAAAGAUCGAACAACUGGGGCUUGUCACCACUACCGAAGACCAGGGGCUGCUAACUCUGGACAAUCAUUGGAAGAAUAGAGCAUUCCAUUGGGCUGUGAGAUGGUGUUAUGCAGUGGAAUGUGCUGAUCAACCACCCAUUUAACCUUCAUGGAACCAAUGGACACCAUCAUUAUACAAGCACCAAAAUCAUAUCUGCCUCGGAUCACCAUCAUCAUCAUAUUUAUUUCAUAGCACCCUGACUUCUGCAAUUAAUCAAUCUAUCAAUCUUAUUCAAGUGGGAACAUUGGCUCAGUAGAUGGCCACUUUUAAAAUAGUGCUUUUACAUUGUUGAUAUUAAUAUAGCCUCAAGGCUCAUACUCACCACACCUUAAAAUGUUUCCUGGCCUCUUAUUGCCAGCUGAGGCUUUGCUAUCACUGUCUGUGAUUGUAGUCCACUCAUAUUAAGGAUCUGGCUUGCAUUAACUUAGAAGUCUGAUCAUUGGUAAUCAAUACCUUCAUUGACCAUUGUCUUCCAACUAUGUACAGGACCAGGCUUUACACAAGGAUUCUACACAGUACCAUCCCUCAGAUUGGAGAGAGAUUGUAAUCUGAGAGU